AUGCAAUUAUCCCUUGAUUUAAUGUAUGUUUUGCAUGAAAGAACAGUCAGGGACUAUCUGGACAAAGUGAUCUGACAAUUUUUUCAUUUCAUCUAUAUUACUGUCAACAUUUGUUAUUCAAAAUAUUUUUGAAUGUCAUGCAGUUAGUAUUCACUAAUCUUAAAAUAGCUAAUACUCAUAGAAAGAGAUUUUAUUUAUCUAGCCAUUAUUCAUCAAUGUCCAUGAAACUUUAAUACGAUGCUAAGUGCUAACAUAACCAAUCGACUGAAAAGAUGUUUCAAAUCACCAAGUACAAGAAAUUUCCCCCCACUGAGAGCUGGAAACAUUGACUGGGGGACAAUUUUCACCAUCCCGUAAUGGAUGAAUAAAUGGAUCACAUUCACCGGAAGAAGCUAUUCACACUUGCCUUUGAGUCUCAAGGUAAAUGCCUGUAAGGACAAUAGAACUGCCCCGAGUUUCUGCUUGGUUUCUUCAUCUGUCAGCACACCAUCACUGUCAAACUUCGCUGGUGGCUAGAACGCGUUCAAGAAAAAUUCGGGUUUGUUAAUGAAAUGAAGAUCAAGGUAGACUCCUAUCUGUCGAAGGUGGAGAAUUGCCUUGAGUUUCUGCUUGGUUUCUUCAUCUGUCAGAACACCAUCACUGUCAAACUUCGAUGGUGGCUGGAACGCGUUCAGGAAAAAUUCAGGUUUGUUAAUAAAAUGAAGAUCAAGGUAGACUCCUAUCUGUCGAAGGUGAUAUUGUGCUCGUCCUCCACCAAAGCCACCUCCAGCACUCACGAUUGCUGCUGCUUUAUCAGCCCAAACAUUUGGAGGUCUAGAUGCCCAAUCAAUUGCAUUUUUCAAGGGUCCUACCCAAGGAGCAGGAAAUGAUAGUUCAGUAGUACCAAGAGUAUUACCACAAGAAGCAAAAUCCUUCAUACUAUUUGCACUGAUGUAUUAACAAAUAACAAUGUAACAAUGUAACAAUGUGCGUCUAUAAUGUGUACGAGGAUUGUCUACAAACUAAUCUAGUAACCUAUUGCUACUUGCAUGUCCAGAUUCUAAUUGAUGCUUUUAAACUACAGGGCUUGGAUCCAACCUAGGCAACCAAAAUCCUCCAUUCGUAUUAAACUGUACAGGCUAUGAUUACUUCAACUCUUAUGGUCCGCCCAUUACCAUAGCAGAUAAUUAGACUCCCAUGCUACUCCUAUGUAGUUGAUUUCUUAAACAGACCGGAAAUAGUAGCUAACAGACACAUAAAACCCAAUGGUACUAACUAGAAGUGGCAGAAUGGUUAAAAGAAAACAGUUAUCUACCCAUAUUAUCUAUUACAAAAUGGGUUGGAUAAUGUACCUUUUAAAAACAGGUCGAAUAUGGGUAAGAUCCAUAUUAUCCACUUAGAAAAUGGUUAACCAAUAGAUAGUUAAUGUGCUUAACUAUUCCAACCCAUAGGUGUGAGCAUUUGAGAAAUUGUUAACUUAGAUUCUUGUAAAGUUAGAGGGCCUUGAAUCAUGGAACGAAUUGUUGUGCCCAGCCUUCCUCAAGUUUGGGAGACUAGGAAUUCUCCUAUCAGUGAUCACAUUAAAGAAGCUAUAGAUAAUAUGAGUAUUCAUAUUGUUCGCCGGAUAACCCAUUUUUUAUCCAUCUCAAAUACGGAUCGGGUCGGAUAAUUUAUCCGUUUUUUGAAUUACAUGUUUUGACCCGCUCAUAUCUGACUUGACCCGCCCGUUUUCCACCCCUAGGCACAACACAUUUAACACUCAAUUUUCCAACCAAAAGAACAAAAGAGAAGAAAAACCAAAUAUUCGUCAUAUCAACCUGAAAGAUGAGCUGUGAAGAUAUCUUUCGAGCACCUUAAGUUGAAAAGUUCUUUGGAAAUAUUGCAAAUGUCCACAGAUGUUAGACGUUAAGUUCUAGCUAUAACCACAUUUAUUAGUAAAAAUUGUUUUACAGCCAAAUACAUUUAGAUAUUCGUAUCAAGUUGUUAAUUUUGCUCUUAUUGAUCUCUUAAAGAAGAUCAUCCUACCAAUAGCCUGUGUGAGAUAAAUAUCUUGGAUAAUAUAUAUAUUCAUGUUAAUAUCAUUUUGUGCUAAUGAGAAACUUUUUCUAUAGUUUUCACCAUGCACAGCUUAUUUGCUAUCACUUUUUAUAAAAGAAGCAUCUUCCCUGUUCAACCUCCAUCAAUAAAAGCUAAAGUUGCACAGAAUAAAUCGGCAUACUUAAUUAGCUUUAGUGAUCAUGGGUCCUAAUUCACACCAAAACCACUAAUCAAAUCACCCAUAUAGAACAAUUAUUGUCACUUUGCUAGCUUUCAACUUUUUCUUAGUCCUCUUUCCCUUUAUUUCUUUCUAGUAUUCAAAGCUCUGUGCUGACCAGAUAAGCAUCAUAAAUCAUCAUGCUUGGUGUACAAUUUUUCAGAUUCUCCGUGCAAAGCAGUCGAAAUAACACUAAAUUGAUUAGAUCCGGAUUCCAAAACAAUUAAAAUAUAAAUUAGUAAUGUCAAUCCAUAGUUAGCACCCAAUGAAGAUUAAAGAAUAGCUAUACUCAUGUUCAGAUUUCUAGAGCCGAACUAAUUAUUAUACGAGGAACCUUGCUACUUACUCUAAUUUUUGCGCAGAUUUUGAGUAUCAAAGUAAGAUUUUCAAAACGAGUAAUCAUUUAAAGUCUAAAUUAGCUUCAAAAUAGUUAAGUGGAGCAUCAGUUAGAUGAAAGUGGAAAAAAAAGGGGUAAAAUUAGGAGGGGAAGAAAAAUGGAAUACCAG
This 2739-nucleotide long non-coding RNA is filed under the name Nicotiana benthamiana. RNAcentral's name for it is "long non-coding RNA (NBEN_LNC003942)". Lineage: Eukaryota; Viridiplantae; Streptophyta; Magnoliopsida; Solanales; Solanaceae. The record is from RNAcentral.